Molecule: non-coding RNA, 135 nt
Organism: Triticum aestivum (bread wheat)
Lineage: Eukaryota; Viridiplantae; Streptophyta; Magnoliopsida; Poales; Poaceae
Source: Rfam
UAACUAUUACUUCCGUCCCAAAAAUCUUGUCUUAGAUUUAUCUAGAUACAAAUGUAUCUAACACUAAAACAUGUCUAGAUAUAUCCAUAUCUAGACAAAUUUAGGACAAGCUUUUUGCUAUGGAGGGAGUACUAA